Molecule: long non-coding RNA, 716 nt
Organism: Hevea brasiliensis (rubber tree)
Lineage: Eukaryota; Viridiplantae; Streptophyta; Magnoliopsida; Malpighiales; Euphorbiaceae
Exons: 2
Source: RefSeq, a predicted model, not a curated record
AUUAACUUCUCUCUUUUGGCAUUUUCCGAGUUGGGAACAAAGAUAAUGGUAUUAUUGUAAUUGUAACUUCAACACAAAAACUCUAUUUCCAUUUUCGAAGAAUCCACCAUAUGCCCUUAACCCUACUCAGCUCCACGUCCUGAAACAAAGAGUAGGGAAGGGCCACUAAAAACAGUGAAUAUGGGUAACCUGAAUAUACAUAAAGAGACUCAAAACCUCUCAGUUUUCGACAUGAUCCUCGGGCCAUUUCUUUCUUCUUCUUUCCUCUGCCAAACUUGGUGGUGGGGUGGCACCGACACCUCCAAGUUUGGCAGAGCUUACAGUGGCGUGUGAUCUCUAUCUAUUAAUAUUAUCUGAGCUCUCUCUCUCCCUCCCUCUUUCUCUCCACUUUUUGUGGCCCAUGCUUAAAGGUAUAUAUAUAUUUUGGCACACAGGGUGAAGCCAGGCAAAGCAAACAAGAAAAUAGAUGAAAGAAACAAGUGCUUAAUUUUGUUCUAGUGCAGCAAACACAUGGUUGAUAAGCUUGAGUACCAGUACUGCAGAUUUUCCAUGAUGAAGAAUAUCACAGAAGAAAAAUUGCAUUCUGUUUGUUGAGAUAUGUUAACUAUGGCAAUUUUUUGAAAUAUAAAAAUAUAUAUUGUCUUUGUAUUGUGCAAGAAUUAUAAUUAGUUUCUUUGAUCUCAAUACAUAAUUCAAGAGCACUAGCUUAUACAGGA